GCUGGUGUGGCUCAGUGAAUAGAGCGUUGGUCUGCGGACUGAAGGGUCCAGGUUUAAUUCCUGUCAAGAGCA
Molecule: non-coding RNA, 72 nt
Organism: Myotis davidii
Lineage: Eukaryota; Metazoa; Chordata; Mammalia; Chiroptera; Vespertilionidae
Source: Rfam